GUACUCCUGCGGGAGGCAGCAGUGGGGAAUUUUGGACAAUGGGCGAAAGCCUGAUCCAGCAAUGCCGCGUGAGUGAAGAAGGCCUUCGGGUUGUAAAGCUCUUUUGUCAGGGAAGAAACGGUGAAAGCUAAUAUCUUUUGCUAAUGACGGUACCUGAAGAAUAAGCACCGGCUAACUACGUGCCAGCAGCCGCGGUAAUACGUAGGGUGCAAGCGUUAAUCGGAAUUACUGGGCGUAAAGCGUGCGCAGGCGGUUUUGUAAGUCUGAUGUGAAAUCCCCGGGCUCAACCUGGGAAUUGCAUUGGAGACUGCAAGGCUAGAAUCUGGCAGAGGGGGGUAGAAUUCCACGUGUAGCAGUGAAAUGCGUAGAUAUGUGGAGGAACACCGAUGGCGAAGGCAGCCCCCUGGGUCAAGAUUGACGCUCAUGCACGAAAGCGUGGGGAGCAAACAGGAUUAGAAACCCGAGUAGUCCCAUG
This 475-nucleotide ribosomal RNA is filed under the name uncultured organism. Its description in RNAcentral is "partial 16S ribosomal RNA". It matches the Rfam family "Bacterial small subunit ribosomal RNA", at positions 333 to 799 of the family's 1533-position model. The record is from RNAcentral.